GGAGGCGGCAGGGCGCCUGGUGGCCCUCCCGGUCUUCAAAACCGAUGGUCCCGAGCACCUCGGGACGGCGGGUUCGAUUCCCGUCCGCCUCCGCCA
Molecule: transfer RNA, 96 nt
Filed under: Actinomadura macrotermitis
Lineage: Bacteria; Bacillati; Actinomycetota; Actinomycetes; Streptosporangiales; Thermomonosporaceae
Description: Actinomadura sp. RB68 tRNA-Sec
Rfam family: Selenocysteine transfer RNA
Source: RNAcentral